Molecule: non-coding RNA, 72 nt
Organism: Daphnia carinata
Lineage: Eukaryota; Metazoa; Arthropoda; Branchiopoda; Diplostraca; Daphniidae
Source: the annotation of a RefSeq genome assembly
GGGGGUGUAACUCAGUGGUAGAGUGCUCGCUUCGCAUGCGAGAAGUCUGGAGUUCAAUCCUCCACUCCUCCA